AUUGAACGCUGGCGGCAGGCCUAACACAUGCAAGUCGAACGGCAGCGGGGGUAGCUUGCUACCCCGCCGGCGAGUGGCGGACGGGUGAGUAAUGCCUGGGGAGGCUGCCCAAUCGAGGGGGAGUACCAGUUGGAAACGACUGCUAAUACCGCAUACGCCCUGAGGGGGAAAGGUGGGGAUCUUCGGACCUACCGCGAUUGGAUGCACCCAGGUGGGAUUAGCUAGUUGGUGAGGUAACGGCUCACCAAGGCGACGAUCUCUAGCUGGUCUGAGAGGAUGACCAGCCACACUGGAACUGAGACACGGUCCAGACUCCUACGGGAGGCAGCAGUGGGGAAUAUUGCACAAUGGGGGAAACCCUGAUGCAGCCAUGCCGCGUGUGUGAAGAAGGCCUUCGGUUGUAAGACACUUCUAGCGAGGAGGAAAGGGGUAGGAGUAGCGUAAU
Molecule: ribosomal RNA, 445 nt
Filed under: uncultured bacterium
Lineage: Bacteria
Description: bacterial SSU rRNA
Rfam family: Bacterial small subunit ribosomal RNA
Source: RNAcentral